GAUGAACGCUGGCGGCGUGCCUAAUGCAUGCAAGUCGAGCGAACAGACGAGGAGCUUGCUCCUCUGACGUUAGCGGCGGACGGGUGAGUAACACGUGGAUAACCUACCUAUAAGACUGGGAUAACUUCGGGAAACCGGAGCUAAUACCGGAUAAUAUAUUGGACCGCAUGGUUCAAUAGUGAAAGACGGUUUUGCUGUCACUUAUAGAUGGAUCCGCGCCGCAUUAGCUAGUUGGUAAGGUAACGGCUUACCAAGGCGACGAUGCGUAGCCGACCUGAGAGGGUGAUCGGCCACACUGGAACUGAGACACGGUCCAGACUCCUACGGGAGGCAGCAGUAGGGAAUCUUCCGCAAUGGGCGAAAGCCUGACGGAGCAACGCCGCGUGAGUGAUGAAGGUCUUCGGAUCGUAAAACUCUGUUAUUAGGGAAGAACAAAUGUGUAAGUAACUAUGCACGUCUUGACGGUACCUAAUCAGAAAGCCACGGCUAACUACGUG
This 497-nucleotide ribosomal RNA is filed under the name uncultured bacterium. RNAcentral's name for it is "partial 16S ribosomal RNA". It matches the Rfam family "Bacterial small subunit ribosomal RNA", at positions 28 to 507 of the family's 1533-position model. The record is from RNAcentral.